This 468-nucleotide ribosomal RNA is filed under the name uncultured bacterium. Its description in RNAcentral is "partial 16S ribosomal RNA". It matches the Rfam family "Bacterial small subunit ribosomal RNA", at positions 28 to 507 of the family's 1533-position model. The record is from RNAcentral.
GACGAACGCUGGCGGCGUGCUUAACACAUGCAAGUCGAACGGAAAGGCCCUGCUUUUGUGGGGUGCUCGAGUGGCGAACGGGUGAGUAACACGUGAGUAACCUGCCCUUGACUUUGGGAUAACUUCAGGAAACUGGGGCUAAUACCGGAUAGGAGCUCCUGCUGCAUGGUGGGGGUUGGAAAGUUUCGGCGGUUGGGGAUGGACUCGCGGCUUAUCAGCUUGUUGGUGGGGUAGUGGCUUACCAAGGCUUUGACGGGUAGCCGGCCUGAGAGGGUGACCGGCCACAUUGGGCCUGAGAUACGGCCCAGACUCCUACGGGAGGCAGCAGUGGGGAAUAUUGCACAAUGGGCGGAAGCCUGAUGCAGCAACGCCGCGUGCGGGAUGACGGCCUUUGGGUUGUAAACCGCUUUCGCCUGUGACGAAGCGUGAGUGACGGUAAUGGGUAAAGAAGCACCGGCUAACUACGUG